ACUCCUACGGGAGGCAGCAGUGGGGAAUAUUGCACAAUGGGCGCAAGCCUGAUGCAGCCAUGCCGCGUGUGUGAAGAAGGCCUUCGGGUUGUAAAGCACUUUCAGUUUUGAGGAAGGUGGUGUUGUUAAUAGCAGCAUCAUUUGACGAAAGCGACAGAAGAAGCACCGGCUAA
RNAcentral lists this ribosomal RNA (173 nucleotides) under uncultured bacterium. RNAcentral describes it as "partial 16S ribosomal RNA". It matches the Rfam family "Bacterial small subunit ribosomal RNA", at positions 335 to 500 of the family's 1533-position model. The record is from RNAcentral.